RNAcentral lists this ribosomal RNA (427 nucleotides) under uncultured bacterium. RNAcentral's name for it is "bacterial SSU rRNA". It matches the Rfam family "Bacterial small subunit ribosomal RNA", at positions 28 to 496 of the family's 1533-position model. The record is from RNAcentral.
GAUGAACGCUGGCGGCGUGGAUAAGGCAUGCAAGUCAAACGGUGUAGCAAUACACAGUGGCGAACGAGGUAGUAAUACGCAGGUACACACCCCAAAGUCAGGGAUAACUAGUCGAAAGAUUAGAUAAAACUUGAUAAUCUCUUCGGAGCAAAAAUUUAUUGCUUUGGGAGUGGCCUGUGGGAUAUCAGCUAGUUGGUAGGGUAACGGCCUACCAAGGCUAUGACGUCUAGGGGAGCUGAGAGGCUGACCCCCACCGAUGGUACUGAGAAACGGACCAUACACCUACGGGUGGCCGCAGUCGAGAAUCUUCCGCAAUGGGCGAAAGCCUGACGGAGCGACGCCGCGUGAUGGAUGAAGACCCUCUGGGUCGUAAACAUCUUUUGUGAGGGAGAAAGUUUAUUGAUAGUACCUCAAGAAUAAGGGGUUG